This 433-nucleotide ribosomal RNA is filed under the name uncultured bacterium. RNAcentral describes it as "partial 16S ribosomal RNA". It matches the Rfam family "Bacterial small subunit ribosomal RNA", at positions 29 to 507 of the family's 1533-position model. The record is from RNAcentral.
AGCGAACGCUGGCGGCAGGCCUAACACAUGCAAGUCGAACGAACCUUUCGGGGUUAGUGGCGGACGGGUGAGUAACACGUGGGAACGUGCCUUUAGGUUCGGAAUAACUCAGGGAAACUUGUGCUAAUACCGAAUGUGCCCUUCGGGGAAAGAUUUAUCGCCUUUAGAGCGGCCCGCGUCUGAUUAGCUAGUUGGUUGAGGUAAUGGCUCACCAAGGCGACGAUCAGUAGCUGGUCUGAGAGGAUGAUCAGCCACAUUGGGACUGAGACACGGCCCAAACUCCUACGGGAGGCAGCAGUGGGGAAUCUUGCGCAAUGGGCGAAAGCCUGACGCAGCCAUGCCGCGUGAAUGAUGAAGGUCUUAGGAUUGUAAAAUUCUUUCACCGGGGACGAUAAUGACGGUACCCGGAGAAGAAGCCCCGGCUAACUUCGUG